This 972-nucleotide long non-coding RNA is filed under the name Strongylocentrotus purpuratus (purple sea urchin). RNAcentral describes it as "uncharacterized LOC115926115". Lineage: Eukaryota; Metazoa; Echinodermata; Echinoidea; Camarodonta; Strongylocentrotidae. The record is from RNAcentral.
AUCGUCGCUGAUUUUACGAACCGGCAUACGAAGCGUUUUUCGUGUCAAUUUUCGAUUUUAAUAUUUUUACAUAUUCUGAAUGAUAUUACCAUGAUCAACCUUUCUGCAAAAUUUUAGGUCAUAAAACGCUUUAAUUAAAAAGUUAUUCGAUUUUAUAAAAUAUGUGCGCUUUGUAUGCCAGUUCGUAAAGCUCGAGUUAACGCGCGAAAAGGGAAUUUGUUGAUUUUACGAACCGGCACGCCUAGCUAUAACUAGUCUGCUAGCAGAAUAGGAUUCACCGAAAUCUGAUGCUUAAACUUCGAGUCUGCGUGGAACUGAUGGAGUUUAUCCAGGAUAGCCUUGUCCCGUAGAACAGGGACAAAUCUACUAACUUGACUGAUAUCAAAAGGAGAAAGAAUUCGGUACCAAGGAGAGGCACUUAGGUGAAAAUGAAAUAGGGCAGCAGGUGGUGGCGGGGAAAAUGUUGGCAGUGUCGGAACCUGGACUUGUACACACCAUGGAUAUGGGAGACAUCCCAUUAGCUGAGCUUGUGAUUCAGAUACGUUCACGCCCAAUGACCGAUGAUACUAAGUUUGACUGCCCACAGACUGACAGCCUAAAAAUGCUCCUGACAGAGUUGAAAUGCCCAUCAGAGGUCCAGCAAGGAUGUAAUGUCCCAUACAUAGACCCCUUUUGAUUGAAGACAAGCCAACUUAAAGCUCACAGAUUGGUGUGAUUCGAUUGGCCCCAGUUCUACAAAAGGAUAGCCCACAGUUUGCUGACAGCCCACACACUGACUGCUAUUAGAACAAUGGUCCACAAAUAAUUGCUCAACAAGUUGAGAGCCAAGGGAUCCCAAACCCAUGGACAACAGGUCACUGGUUUUUAGUUCUCGGACCUGGUGAGGACAUCCCAAAGGCAGAAUGAAACAAAACCCAUGGAGUUGGAUACAGACUUGGAGGAUGAAGUACACAAAGUGGAAUCUGACACAGA